CCUACGGGAGGCAGCAGUGGGGAAUAUUGGGCAAUGGGCGCAAGCCUGACCCAGCAACGCCGCGUGAAGGAAGAAGGCUUUCGGGUUGUAAACUUCUUUUACCAGGGACGAAGAAAGUGACGGUACCUGGAGAAUAAGCCACGGCUAACUACGUGCCAGCAGCCGCGGUAAUACGUAGGUGGCGAGCGUUGUCCGGAUUUACUGGGUGUAAAGGGCGCGUAGGCGGGAAUGCAAGUCAGAUGUGAAAUCCAUGGGCUUAACCCAUGAACUGCAUUUGAAACUGUAUUUCUUGAGUGUCGGAGAGGUAGACGGAAUUCCUAGUGUAGCGGUGAAAUGCGUAGAUAUUAGGAGGAACACCAGUGGCGAAGGCGGUCUACUGGACGAUAACUGACGCUGAGGCGCGAAAGCGUGGGGAGCAAACAGGAUUAGAUACCCCU
This 437-nucleotide ribosomal RNA is filed under the name uncultured bacterium. RNAcentral's name for it is "bacterial SSU rRNA". It matches the Rfam family "Bacterial small subunit ribosomal RNA", at positions 338 to 788 of the family's 1533-position model. The record is from RNAcentral.